This 446-nucleotide ribosomal RNA is filed under the name uncultured bacterium. RNAcentral describes it as "partial 16S ribosomal RNA". It matches the Rfam family "Bacterial small subunit ribosomal RNA", at positions 29 to 523 of the family's 1533-position model. The record is from RNAcentral.
AACGAACGCUGGCGGCAGGCUUAACACAUGCAAGUCGAACGCUCCGCAAGGGGAGUGGCAGACGGGUGAGUAACGCGUGGGAACGUGCCCUAAGGUAUGGAAUAACUUCGGGAAACUGAAGCUAACACCAUAUGUGACCGAGAGGUGAAAGUUUAUCGCCUUAGGAUCGGCCCGCGUCAGAUUAGCCAGUUGGUGGGGUAAUGGCCUACCAAGGCGACGAUCUGUAGCUGUUCUGGGAGGAAGAUCAGCCACACUGGGACUGAGACACGGCCCAGACUCCUACGGGAGGCAGCAGUGGGGAAUCUUGGACAAUGGGCGCAAGCCUGAUCCAGCCAUGCCGCGUGGAUGAUGAAGGCCCUAGGGUUGUAAAAUCCUUUCGUUGGGGACGAUAAUGACGGUACCCAAAGAAGAAGCUCCGGCUAACUUCGUGCCAGCAGCCGCAGUAA